Molecule: ribosomal RNA, 279 nt
Filed under: uncultured bacterium
Lineage: Bacteria
Description: partial 16S ribosomal RNA
Rfam family: Bacterial small subunit ribosomal RNA
Source: RNAcentral
UGCCAGCCGCCGCGGUAAUACGGAAGGUGCGAGCGUUAAUCGGAAUUACUGGGCGUAAAGCGCACGUAGGUGGCUUGGUAAGUCGGAUGUGAAAGCCCUGGGCUCAACCUGGGAACUGCAUUCCGAACUGCUAGGCUAGAGUUUGGUAGAGGUGAGUGGAAUUUCCUGUGUAGCGGUGAAAUGCGUAGAUAUAGGAAGGAACAUCAGUGGCGAAGGCGACUCACUGGACCAAAACUGACACUGAGGUGCGAAAGCGUGGGUAGCGAACAGGAUUAGAUA